This 551-nucleotide ribosomal RNA is filed under the name Bifidobacterium longum subsp. infantis. Its description in RNAcentral is "bacterial SSU rRNA". It matches the Rfam family "Bacterial small subunit ribosomal RNA", at positions 146 to 711 of the family's 1533-position model. The record is from RNAcentral. Lineage: Bacteria; Bacillati; Actinomycetota; Actinomycetes; Bifidobacteriales; Bifidobacteriaceae. RNAcentral also lists the same sequence under 2 other names.
UCUCCUGGAAACGGGUGGUAAUGCCGGAUGCUCCAGUUGAUCGCAUGGUCUUCUGGGAAAGCUUUCGCGGUAUGGGAUGGGGUCGCGUCCUAUCAGCUUGACGGCGGGGUAACGGCCCACCGUGGCUUCGACGGGUAGCCGGCCUGAGAGGGCGACCGGCCACAUUGGGACUGAGAUACGGCCCAGACUCCUACGGGAGGCAGCAGUGGGGAAUAUUGCACAAUGGGCGCAAGCCUGAUGCAGCGACGCCGCGUGAGGGAUGGAGGCCUUCGGGUUGUAAACCUCUUUUAUCGGGGAGCAAGCGAGAGUGAGUUUACCCGUUGAAUAAGCACCGGCUAACUACGUGCCAGCAGCCGCGGUAAUACGUAGGGUGCAAGCGUUAUCCGGAAUUAUUGGGCGUAAAGGGCUCGUAGGCGGUUCGUCGCGUCCGGUGUGAAAGUCCAUCGCUUAACGGUGGAUCCGCGCCGGGUACGGGCGGGCUUGAGUGCGGUAGGGGAGACUGGAAUUCCCGGUGUAACGGUGGAAUGUGUAGAUAUCGGAAAAGAACACCA